This 437-nucleotide ribosomal RNA is filed under the name Emiliania huxleyi. RNAcentral's name for it is "partial Eukaryotic large subunit ribosomal RNA". It matches the Rfam family "Eukaryotic large subunit ribosomal RNA", at positions 1 to 431 of the family's 3401-position model. Lineage: Eukaryota; Haptophyta; Isochrysidales; Noelaerhabdaceae. The record is from RNAcentral. RNAcentral also lists the same sequence under 1 other name.
UCGAAUGAGGCAAGACUACCCGCUGAACUUAAGCAUAUCACUAAGCGGAGGAGAAGAAACUAACCAGGAUGCCCCUAGUAAUGGCGAAUGAAGCGGGCUGAGCUCACGCUGCCAAUCUGGAGGCCUCGCGUAUGCAGCGCCCCCCGAAUUGUGGUCUAGAGAGGCGUUAUCGGCCGCGCCCGCCGCUCAAGUCCCUUGGAACAGGGUGUCGGAGAGGGUGAGAAUCCCGUACCGUGGCGGGUUGCGGCCUUACGAUGCGUCCUCGUCGAGUCGGGUUGCUUGGGAUUGCAGCUUGAAUUGGGUGGUAAAUUCCAUCUAAAGCUAAAUACUGGCGAGAGACCGAUAGCGAACAAGUACCGUGAGGGAAAGAUGCAAAGAACUUUGAAAAGAGAGUCAAAGAGUGCUUGAAAUCGGUAGGAGGAAACCCGGAUGGGCCC